GACGAACGCUGGCGGCGUGCUUAACAUAUGCAAGUCGAACGGAAAGGCCCUGCUUUUGUGGGGUGCUCGAGUGGCGAACGGGUGAGUAACACGUGAGUAACCUGCCCUUGACUUUGGGAUAACUUCAGGAAACUGGGGCGAAUACCGGAUAGGAGCUCCUGCUGCAUGGUGGGGGUUGGAAAGUUUCGGCGGUUGGGGAUGGACUCGCGGCUUAUCAGCUUGUUGGUGGGGUAGUGGCUUACCAAGGCUUUGACGGGUAGCCGGCCUGAGAGGGUGACCGGCCACAUUGGGACUGAGAUACGGCCCAGACUCCUACGGGAGGCAGCAGUGGGGAAUAUUGCACAAUGGGCGGAAGCCUGAUGCAGCAACGCCGCGUGCGGGAUGACGGCCUUCGGGUUGUAAACCGCUUUCGCCUGUGACGAAGCGUGAGUGACGGUAAUGGGUAAAGAAGCACCGGCUAACUACGUG
This 468-nucleotide ribosomal RNA is filed under the name uncultured bacterium. Its description in RNAcentral is "partial 16S ribosomal RNA". It matches the Rfam family "Bacterial small subunit ribosomal RNA", at positions 28 to 507 of the family's 1533-position model. The record is from RNAcentral.